GGCUCAAUGGUCUAGUGGUAUGAUUCGCGCUUCGGGUUUAAUCACCCUCAUGGUAUCCCAUGAAUGUGCGAGGUCCCGGGUUCAAAUCCCGGUUGAGCCC
Molecule: transfer RNA, 100 nt
Organism: Neurospora crassa OR74A
Lineage: Eukaryota; Fungi; Ascomycota; Sordariomycetes; Sordariales; Sordariaceae
Rfam family: tRNA
About the family: Transfer RNA (tRNA) molecules are approximately 80 nucleotides in length. Their secondary structure includes four short double-helical elements and three loops (D, anti-codon, and T loops).
Source: Rfam